Molecule: ribosomal RNA, 433 nt
Filed under: uncultured bacterium
Lineage: Bacteria
Description: partial 16S ribosomal RNA
Rfam family: Bacterial small subunit ribosomal RNA
Source: RNAcentral
AACGAACGCUGGCGGCAUGCCUAACACAUGCAAGUCGAACGAGACCUUCGGGUCUAGUGGCGCACGGGUGCGUAACGCGUGGGAACCUGCACUUAGGUUCGGAAUAACUCCCCGAAAGGGGUGCUAAUACCGGAUAAUGUCUUCGGACCAAAGAUUUAUCGCCUUUGGAUGGGCCCGCGUUGGAUUAGCUAGUUGGUAGGGUAAAAGCCUACCAAGGCGACGAUCCAUAGCUGGUCUGAGAGGAUGAUCAGCCACACUGGGACUGAGACACGGCCCAGACUCGUACGGGAGGCAGCAGAGGGGAAUAUUGGACAAUGGGCGAAAGCCUGAUCCAGCAAUGCCGCGUGAGUGAUGAAGGCCGUAGGGUUGUAAAGCUCUUUUACCCGGGAUGAUAAUGACAGUACCGGGAGAAUAAGCACCGGCUAACUCCGUG